ACGAACGCUGGCGGCGUGCUUAACACAUGCAAGUCGAACGGAAAGGCCCUGCUUUUGUGGGGUGCUCGAGUGGCGAACGGGUGAGUAACACGUGAGUAACCUGCCCUUGACUUUGGGAUAACUUCAGGAAACUGGGGCUAAUACCGGAUAGGAGCUCCUGCUGCAUGGUGGGGGUUGGAAAGUUUCGGCGGUUGGGGAUGGACUCGCGGCUUAUCAGCUUGUUGGUGGGGUAGUGGCUUACCAAGGCUUUGACGGGUAGACGGCCUGAGAGGGUGACCGGCCACAUUGGGACUGAGAUACGGCCCAGACUCCUACGGGAGGCAGCAGUGGGGAAUAUUGCACAAUGGGCGGAAGCCUGAUGCAGCAACGCCGCGUGCGGGAUGACGGCCUUCGGGUUGUAAACCGCUUUCGCCUGUGACGAAGCGUGAGUGACGGUAAUGGGUAAAGAAGCACCGGCUAACUACGUG
RNAcentral lists this ribosomal RNA (467 nucleotides) under uncultured bacterium. RNAcentral's name for it is "partial 16S ribosomal RNA". It matches the Rfam family "Bacterial small subunit ribosomal RNA", at positions 29 to 507 of the family's 1533-position model. The record is from RNAcentral.